Molecule: long non-coding RNA, 370 nt
Organism: Homarus americanus (American lobster)
Lineage: Eukaryota; Metazoa; Arthropoda; Malacostraca; Decapoda; Nephropidae
Exons: 3
Source: RefSeq, a predicted model, not a curated record
AACUUGUUCUGGGAUUCACAAAACUACGACUGCAAUCUUCAUAAGAGAUCAUUCUCUUACCGUGUGUGUCUGUGUGUGUGUGUGUGUGUGUGUGGAGGCAUUACUGCAGAGGAUGGUCUUGAGGUCCACUACUGCAGAAGGUUUUGUGGCCACUACUGCAGAAGGUUUGUGUGACCACUACUGCAGAAGGUUUUGUGGCCACUACUGCAGAAGGUUUUGUGGCCACUACUGCAGAAGGUUUUGUGGCCACUACUGCAGAAGGUUUUGUGGCCACUACUGCAGAAGGUUUUGUGGCCACUACUGCAGAAGGUUUUGUGGCCACUACUGCAGAAGGGUGUGGAGUCCCAGAAGAACAGCCAAGAGGGAGAGA